UACGUAGGCAGCGAGCGUUGUUCGGAAUUACUGGGCGUAAAGAGUGUGUAGGCGGUGCUCUAAGUUCGGUGUGAAAUCUCCUGCUUAACUGGGAGGGUGCGCCGGAAACUGGAGUGCUCGAGCGUGGGAGAGGAAAGCGGAAUUACCUGGUGUAGCGGUGAAAUGCGUAGAUAUCAGGAGGAACACCUGUGGUGUAGACGGCUUUCUGGACCAUAGCUGACGCUGAGACACGAAAAGCCGUGGGUAGCAAACAGG
RNAcentral lists this ribosomal RNA (255 nucleotides) under uncultured bacterium. RNAcentral describes it as "partial 16S ribosomal RNA". It matches the Rfam family "Bacterial small subunit ribosomal RNA", at positions 524 to 776 of the family's 1533-position model. The record is from RNAcentral.